GGGUCAGUAGGUUGGUCGUGCCACCGGUACGUACUGGUCUCACUGAUUCCUCCUUCCUGAAGAACCGUAAUGCCAUUAAUUUGGUGUUGCGGGGAAACAGGACUGUUACUUUGAAAAAAUUAGAGUGUUUAAAGCAAGCUAACGCUUGAAUACAUUAGCAUGGAAUAAUGAAUUAGGACGAUCGAUCCUAUUUUGUUGGUUUCUAGGAUUGACGUA
This 216-nucleotide ribosomal RNA is filed under the name Glomeromycotina sp. RNAcentral describes it as "partial small subunit ribosomal RNA". The stretch from base 40 to 216 matches the Rfam family "Eukaryotic small subunit ribosomal RNA", at positions 686 to 864 of the family's 1831-position model. Lineage: Eukaryota; Fungi; Glomeromycota. The record is from RNAcentral.